This is a non-coding RNA of Pelobates cultripes (western spadefoot toad), 375 nucleotides long. The record is from the annotation of a GenBank genome assembly. Lineage: Eukaryota; Metazoa; Chordata; Amphibia; Anura; Pelobatidae.
GGCGAUAAACAGCUGUGUUCAUGGGUGGCAUCCCCUGUGUUUUUUGUCAGAUCCUUUUAGAAUGGUUAUACAAAGAGCAAGGUGUCCCCUGCACCCAAAUACCACCCCAUAUUUAGCCUCACUGAUAAUGCUGAAAUUAAACUUAUAUUAUCAAGAGCAAAUCAGUCAAGCUUGGUUGUAAAUGAUAGGAUGAGAUCACUGGGCAAACCAUCCCUAGUGCUCUCAGCCUAUUAUUGCCAUCCAUGGUUGGAAAAUGUACACUUGAUAAUGAGAAAGCAUGUGGCCUUAGUUUUUGUCAGAUCUCACCGAAGUGCUAUGUUGUGGUUAUGGAAGUGCCCCUUGAAAUUGAAUGUAUUUUUCUAUUUUUGCAAGAUA